This 510-nucleotide long non-coding RNA is filed under the name Androctonus crassicauda. Lineage: Eukaryota; Metazoa; Arthropoda; Arachnida; Scorpiones; Buthidae. The record is from RNAcentral.
GUUUAUUGAAAACCUAGGAUCUUUAUUGAGAGAGAGAGUAGAUAACAAUGUACUCCCGACAAUGGAGGAUAAAUACCUGGAUUUACAAUUAGAUUUCCGUUUCUUUUCUUCCGAACUUUACCGAUGUAUUUGACGACACAAACCACAGUCUUUAGUCCGUUUUUAACGAAUAACGGCGGCACAGUCUUUAGUCCAAAUUUUUCACACUAUCACUAAGUUAUGGUACUCCUUUCUUACUUUGAGUACGAUGGUUUGUCUGUCCUUUAACCUAAUAUUCAAUCUGAAUUUUCCUUCGAAUAUGUCGAAUGCUUAUUAUGGACUUGGGCUCUCCAGGUUUCCUCUUCGGACUUCGGAAGGGUGGUCGCUGACUUCUUCUACGAGAGACUCUUGCUUCUCUACUCGUCUUCAGGCGUGCCACACCCACAGAACGGUGAUCACCCGUUAUAUAUCUGGUUUCCCCCCUCUUCUUUCUUUGUUAAAAGUAAGAAUUACGUAUUUCUUCUUCUUUCU